GCCUGGGUAGCUCAGUCGGCAGAGCAUCAGAGCUUUACUCUGAGGGUCCAGGGUUCGAGUCACUGUCCAGGCA
This 73-nucleotide transfer RNA is filed under the name Bos taurus (domestic cattle). It matches the Rfam family "tRNA". Rfam says of the family: Transfer RNA (tRNA) molecules are approximately 80 nucleotides in length. Lineage: Eukaryota; Metazoa; Chordata; Mammalia; Artiodactyla; Bovidae. RNAcentral also lists the same sequence under 2 other names. The record is from Rfam by way of RNAcentral.